AUUGAACGCUGGCGGCAGGCCUAACACAUGCAAGUCGAGCGAGAGGCGGACGGGUGAGUAAUGUCUGGGAAACUGCCCGCUGUAGGGGGAGAACUACUGGAAACGGUAGCUAAUACCGCAUACCAUCAUAUAUCCCCAGAUGGGGUUAGCUAGUAGGUGGGGUAACGGCUCACCUAGGCGACGAUCCCUAGCUGGUCUGAGAGGAGGACCAGCCACACUGGGACUGAGACACGGUCCAGACUCCUACGGGAGGCAGCAGUGGGGAAUUUUGCACAAUGGGGGAAAGCCUGAUGCAGCCAUGCCGCGUGUGUGAAGAAGGCCUUCGGGUUGUAAAGCACUUUCGGCGGAGAAGCGUUACCCGCAGAAGAAGCACCGGCUAACUCCGUGCCAGCAGCCGCGGUAAUUC
This 406-nucleotide ribosomal RNA is filed under the name uncultured bacterium. RNAcentral describes it as "partial 16S ribosomal RNA". It matches the Rfam family "Bacterial small subunit ribosomal RNA", at positions 30 to 526 of the family's 1533-position model. The record is from RNAcentral.